GUCAGGAUAGCUCAGUUGGUAGA
RNAcentral lists this transfer RNA (23 nucleotides) under Poa abbreviata. Its description in RNAcentral is "partial tRNA-Phe". Lineage: Eukaryota; Viridiplantae; Streptophyta; Magnoliopsida; Poales; Poaceae. The record is from RNAcentral. RNAcentral also lists the same sequence under 4 other names.